Harmonia axyridis is the source of this 784-nucleotide long non-coding RNA. RefSeq lists it as uncharacterized. The transcript has 2 exons. NCBI's taxonomy places the organism in Eukaryota, Metazoa, Arthropoda, Insecta, Coleoptera, Coccinellidae. The record is from RefSeq and is a predicted model, not a curated record.
CUUCAAUGUUGCCUUUGACUGAAAGUCAAACACAACCUGAUAUGGUGGGAGAAACAGAAGUUGUGAAAUAUAGAAACAUCCCUUACCUUACCUACAAAAUUAAGAAUUGUUUUAAAGAUUAUAAUAAAAAAGUGAAAAUAGUAGCACAGUGCAAAAAGAAAGUGGCAAAUUUAUAUUCAAAACUGAAGGACCCUAUACCAAAAGAAAUAAAAUCGAAUGUGGUGUACGAACUGGAAUGUACUGACUGUCAUGAAACCUACGUAGGUCAAACCUCUCAGUGGCUUAGAAAUCGCAUGAACUUACAUAAAAGUGAUAUUAGAACAAAUAACCUGAGAUGUGCAUUAUCUGUUCAUGCUAAUAAGUACUCACACAGUGUUGAUUUUAAUAACGUAAAAAUUUUAGAUGUAAAUGUAAAUUAUAAAAAAAGAUGUAUACUAGAAAUGAUCCACAUACAAACUCAAAAAAGUAAAAUUAACAAAAAAACGGACACGCAGAGAUUAAGUCCAAUAUAUGCAUAUCUCAUAGAAUUUUCUAACAGACCAUUUUUCGAUGGUCCAGUUGAUGAAUGACAUUUAACCUAACUUUGUUUAUUGCGUAUUAUGAUAUUGCGUUUCUUAAUUGAUAAUCAUUUGAUAUUACCCUGUUUGAUGCUUGUGUCUGAUUUUGUACAUUUCUUAGACUUAGAGAUUAACCUCGCAUUCAUUGCCCUGAGGAAGAAGCAAAAUAAGCUUCGAAAGCUAGGCUUUACAUGAAUAAAGAGUAAAUAUAUCUCGUUAAUUGCUGA